CCUACGGGGGGCAGCAGUGGGGAAUAUUGGACAAUGGGGGGAACCCUGAUCCAGCCAUGCCGCGUGUGUGAAGAAGGCCCUCGGGUUGUAAAGCACUUUCAGUGAGGAAGAACGCCUGGUGGUUAAUACCCAUCAGGAAAGACAUCACUCACAGAAGAAGCACCGGCUAACUCCGUGCCAGCAGGCGCGGUAAUACGGAGGGUGCGAGCGUUAAUCGGAAUUACUGGGCGUAAAGCGCGCGUAGGUGGCUUGAUAAGCCGGUUGUGAAAGCCCCGGGCUCAACCUGGGAACGGCAUCCGGAACUGUCAAGCUAGAGUGCAGGAGAGGAAGGUAGAAUUCCCGGUGUAGCGGUGAAAUGCGUAGAGAUCGGGAGGAAUACCAGUGGCGAAGGCGGCCUUCUGGACUGACACUGACACUGAGGUGCGAAAGCGUGGGUAGCAAACAGGAUUAGAUACCCCGGUAGUC
RNAcentral lists this ribosomal RNA (465 nucleotides) under Vreelandella stevensii. Its description in RNAcentral is "partial 16S ribosomal RNA". It matches the Rfam family "Bacterial small subunit ribosomal RNA", at positions 338 to 795 of the family's 1533-position model. Lineage: Bacteria; Pseudomonadati; Pseudomonadota; Gammaproteobacteria; Oceanospirillales; Halomonadaceae. The record is from RNAcentral.